CAUUCUGCGCUGGAGUAAUCGGCGAAAAAGACGUGGCGGCGGGUAUCAAGUUGUUCUCCGUUCUAAUGUCUUACCGGGAGCUGGUUGAUAGUUGAGUGGAGCAGCAAAAAAAAAAUGAAAACAAGUUGCCGAAGAAAGUAAAACCAAUCUAGCGUAUAGUGCAAAUUGCAUUACAUUUAAUUCAAUAAACGAUUCAGUUCAGGUAUAACAAGACAAGUGCAUUUGAGUUUGUUCCAGUUUGCCGCUUCUCGUGUGCGCGGGGUUGCGACUGGGUGGGAAUUUUUCCAAGGUUCAUCAUAAUGGCAGUUGAAUUAUUUGAGUGCAGAAGAAUGUUUUCUGAACAAGUUUUAAUUUGAGCCAAUUUUCGUUUCCACUUCUAUUUUCAGUUUUUGUAUUGAAAGGCUUCCGACAAGACCAUCAAAACAUUCUAUCACCGAAGAUGAACGACAUUCCUGCAGCAAGAAUUCGCUCUCACGCAGCUAGACGAAACCAUUAAAAGUGCGGAACAAAUCUAAUGAAUCACUUCGCCCCCAUUGUCGUUAUCGUCUAUUUCCUCGUCGUGUCUUCCUGGCUUAUCCGUCCUGCUUUCCAGACCCAGCCACCACGGGAGGCUGUGUUUCGGUUAUUGAUGCGCUAUAAUGCGAUAUUAAUAAAUCAUCGAAGAAUAAACCAAGGCGCGUUGGAUGUGAAUGCGUAUGAUGGUGUUGUGAUUUCAGCUUCUUCUGCUCGGUACGGCAAUGGCACAAUAUGACGCAGUAUUCGCCGAGACGGUAUAAUGCCGUGGGUACGCACUUUUCCAAGCUGUGUACAACAUGAGAUGGUGACGAGGUGGAAAAUUCCUCAGCAUCCGCGCAGCAGCGGAGCGUUUGUGUCGGGGUAGUCCUAGUACAGCUCGAUUCUGCCGUUAGGGAUAAUGUUCUCGGCUCUCCUGCUGGAAUGAUAAAUGAAUCGAUUUUAUGAUUGCUGAUAAUUUCUGGAAAAUAAAGACGCUUUUUGUUUUGUUUGAUUUUCGAGCAAAAUUGAGA
Topomyia yanbarensis is the source of this 1025-nucleotide long non-coding RNA. RefSeq lists it as uncharacterized. The record is from RefSeq and is a predicted model, not a curated record. Lineage: Eukaryota; Metazoa; Arthropoda; Insecta; Diptera; Culicidae. The transcript has 2 exons.